RNAcentral lists this ribosomal RNA (406 nucleotides) under uncultured bacterium. Its description in RNAcentral is "bacterial SSU rRNA". It matches the Rfam family "Bacterial small subunit ribosomal RNA", at positions 28 to 414 of the family's 1533-position model. The record is from RNAcentral.
GACGAACGCUGGCGGCGCGCCUAACACAUGCAAGUCGAACGGGGAUAAAUCAACGGAAGGCUUCGGCCGGAAGAGGAUAUAUUCUAGUGGCGGACGGGUGAGUAACGCGUGAGUAACCUGCCUUUCAGAGGGGGAGUAACGGCCGGAACGGCCGCUAAUACCGCAUAACGUAAAGGGACGGCAUCAUUCUUUUACCAAAGGAGCAAUCCGCUGAGAGAUGGACUCGCGUCCAAUUAGCCAGUUGGCGGGGUAAAGGCCACCAAAGCGACGAUUGGUAGCCGGACUGAGAGGUUGAACGGCCACAUUGGGACUGAGACACGGCCCAGACUCCUACGGGAGGCAGCAGUGGGGAAUAUUGCACAAUGGAGGAAACUCUGAUGCAGCGACGCCGCGUGAGGGAAGAAGG